GAGGCUUGCCUCUUUUCAUGCGGACCCAAGAGAAAAACAAAAAAAUAGGGGGAGGGUUUUUCUUAUAUUUUUUAUACAAAAUUCAUCAUCCACGAAGAUCCAACCGUUCAAUCUCAAAUUCAACCUCGGUAAUAGGUUACUUAGAACUUGUUUGGGACUACCCAAACCAUGGGUUUUGGUUUGGUGAAAUUUUGACGUUUAUACUUUAGUUGCAGGUUUUGCAGAUAUAGAUAUUGAUUCGUCCACCUAGCGCAUGGGAUGCUAUGAUUGGAGCAUAUCGCGACAGUCAUAAGUCACAGACUCAUGGGUAGUCCGUAUUUUGAGUAUUUUAUUUAUCCUUUGUGUCCUACGUAGCACAUAUAUUUGUUGAGCCUGUGUUAUGGUAUGUAAUUAGUUUAAUGUGUUUUAUAAGCCUUAAAUAGAUAGACUUGUAAAUGGCUCUUGUUGUAAAUAGCUAUCAUGUAUUAGAUGUA
Alnus glutinosa is the source of this 473-nucleotide long non-coding RNA. RefSeq lists it as uncharacterized. The record is from RefSeq and is a predicted model, not a curated record. The transcript has 3 exons. NCBI's taxonomy places the organism in Eukaryota, Viridiplantae, Streptophyta, Magnoliopsida, Fagales, Betulaceae.